RNAcentral lists this long non-coding RNA (675 nucleotides) under Nicotiana benthamiana. RNAcentral's name for it is "long non-coding RNA (NBEN_LNC023607)". The record is from RNAcentral. Lineage: Eukaryota; Viridiplantae; Streptophyta; Magnoliopsida; Solanales; Solanaceae.
ACAAGCUAAACCCUAGCGUCUUCCUCUUCUUGAACAAGACCUAAAACCUUAACUUCCAUGGCUGCCCUAUCUUCUUAAACCUACAACAAAAAAGAACCUGAAUACACAAGAACAGCCGUGGCCUUCUUCUUGACAACAAUGGAGAACCAUUGAACUAUAAGAGCUAACCCUCGGUUCCUUCAGCAAUCACCAUUAGAUCCGCCGCCGUUCACAUCCAAAUGACCCGCCUUCUUCACCUUCCGUCGACCACCCUCAUGUGCACACAACAACCAGCUGCUCCCUCACCAUCGGACUCGCCGGAAAAACAGCAACUCCCAUCAGAACGAGUACACAACAUUCGUCGAGGUUGUUAGGUGCGUUCGAGGUCCCGUCACCGGUUCAAGGUUUGGUCAAUAGCUCUUUUUUUUUUUGGUUUGCUGCUUUUGAAAUUUUCAGCCAUCAUACACGGUGAAAAAUACAGAGACAUAAAGGUCCUUCUCUUCUCCCUUCUUACUUACUUGCUUGUUUAUAUGUUGAAUGAUCUAUGAGUAAGACGAGUAGGGCUGCUUAUCGGGCGGAUUGGAUGGUUACUUACUUUUAACAGUUUGGCUUAAUGGUUAUCGACUUUUAAAUGUAUCAAUCCGCUAGCCAUCCAAUAAGAUAUCGGGCGGAUCGGUAUCGGUUUAACUCUUAUCG